GUAGGUGAACCUGCAGAAGGAUCACUA
This 27-nucleotide ribosomal RNA is filed under the name Aurantiochytrium limacinum. RNAcentral's name for it is "partial 18S ribosomal RNA". The record is from RNAcentral. Lineage: Eukaryota; Bigyra; Thraustochytrida; Thraustochytriidae. RNAcentral also lists the same sequence under 1 other name.